GACAGAGGGUGCAAACGUUGUUCGGAUUUACUGGGCGUAAAGCGCGUGUAGGCGGCUUGGCAAGUCGGAUGUGAAAGCCCAAGGCUCAACCGUGGAAGCGCAUCCGAAACGGCCUCGCUCGAGUCUCGGAGAGGAAGGUGGAAUGCUUGGUGUAGAGGUGAAAUUCGUAGAUAUCAAGCAGAACACCUGCGGCGAAGGCGGCCUUCUGGACGAUGACUGACGCUGAGACGCGAAAGCGUGGGGAGCAAACAGG
This 253-nucleotide ribosomal RNA is filed under the name uncultured bacterium. RNAcentral describes it as "partial 16S ribosomal RNA". It matches the Rfam family "Bacterial small subunit ribosomal RNA", at positions 524 to 776 of the family's 1533-position model. The record is from RNAcentral.